This 94-nucleotide transfer RNA is filed under the name Cellulomonas pakistanensis. RNAcentral describes it as "tRNA-Ala". The record is from RNAcentral. Lineage: Bacteria; Bacillati; Actinomycetota; Actinomycetes; Micrococcales; Cellulomonadaceae.
CCGGCAGGUGGCGCGGCGGCUGUCGUCGCUGCAGCAGGGCGGGCUGCCGGUCGACGUCGCCGAGGCCGUGGCGUUCCUCGCGUCGCCGCAGGCC